Molecule: ribosomal RNA, 869 nt
Filed under: uncultured archaeon
Lineage: Archaea
Description: bacterial SSU rRNA
Rfam family: Archaeal small subunit ribosomal RNA
Source: RNAcentral
CUCCGGUUGAUCCUGCCGGACCCGACUGCUAUCAGAGUGGGACUAAGCCAUGCGAGUCAACAUAGCAAUAUGUGGCAUACGGCUCAGUAACACGUAGUCAACAUGCCCAGGGGACGUGGAUAACCUCGGGAAACUGAGGAUAAACCGCGAUAGGUCAUCACUUCUGGAAUGGGUAAUGACUUAAAUCUAUAUGGCCCCUGGAUUGGACUGCGGCCGAUCAGGCUGUUGGUGAGGUAAUGGCCCACCAAACCUGUAACCAGUACGGGCUUUGAGAGAAGGAGCCCGGAGAUGGGCACUGAGACAAGGGCCCAGGCCCUAUGGGGCGCAGCAGGCGCGAAACCGCUGCAAUAGGCGAAAGCUUGACAGGGUUACUCUGAGUGAUGCCCGCUAAGGGCAUCUUUUGGCACCUCUAAAAAUGGUGCAGAAUAAGGGGUGGGCAAGUCUGGUGUCAGCCGCCGCGGUAAUACCAGCACCCCGAGUGGUCGGGACGAUUAUUGGGCCUAAAGCAUCCGUAGCUUGUUCUGCAAGUCCUCCGUUAAAUCCACCUGCUCAACAGAUGGGCUGCGGGGGAUACUACAGGGCUAGGAGGCGGGAGAGGCAAACGGUACUCAGUGGGUAGGGGUAAAAUCCUCUGAUCCACUGAAGACCACCAGUGGCGAAGGCGGUUUGCCAGAACGCGCUCGACGGUGAGGGAUGAAAGCUGGGGGAGCAAACCGGAUUAGAUACCCGGGUAGUCCCAGCUGUAAACGAUGCAGACUCGGUGAUGGGUUGGCUUUGAGCCAACCCAGUGCCGCAGGGAAGCCGUUAAGUCUGCCGCCUGGGGAGUACGGUCGCAAGACUGAAACUUAAAGGAAUUGGCGGGGGGAGCA